Molecule: ribosomal RNA, 460 nt
Filed under: uncultured bacterium
Lineage: Bacteria
Description: bacterial SSU rRNA
Rfam family: Bacterial small subunit ribosomal RNA
Source: RNAcentral
GUACGGGAGGCAGCAGUGGGGAAUAUUGGACAAUGGGCACAAGCCUGAUCCAGCCAUCCCGCGUGAAGGAUUAAGGCCCUCUGGGUUGUAAACUUCUUUUCUUGGGGAAUAAAUGACGGAAUUCAUUCUGUCUUGAAGGUACCCGAGGAAUAAGCACCGGCUAACUCCGUGCCAGCAGCCGCGGUAAUACGGAGGGUGCAAGCGUUAUCCGGAUUCACUGGGUUUAAAGGGUGCGUAGGUGGCUUUGUAAGUCAGUGGUGAAAGCCCGCAGCUCAACUGCGGAACUACCAUUGAUACUGCUUAGCUUGAAUUAGGUCGAGGUGGAUGGAAUAAUACAUGUAGCGGUGAAAUGCUUAGAUAUGCAUUAGAACACCGAUUGCGAAGGCAGUUCACUAGGCCUAUAUUGACACUGAGGCACGAAAGCGUGGGGAUCAAACAGGAUUAGAUACCCGGGUAGUCC